RNAcentral lists this ribozyme (73 nucleotides) under unclassified sequences. RNAcentral describes it as "HDV ribozyme from F. prausnitzii". It matches the Rfam family "HDV ribozyme from F. prausnitzii". The record is from RNAcentral.
GCUGCUCAGAUAAUCACACGCCGCUACGAGGUGAGCAGUAGGCAACGAUCUUAUGAUCGGCGAAGAUGUGAUG